GAUGAACGCUGGCGGCGUGCUUAACACAUGCAAGUCGAACGAAGCACUUUAACCUGAUUCUUCGGAUGUAGGUUUUUGUGACUGAGUGGCGGACGGGUGAGUAACGCGUGGGUAACCUGCCUCAUAAAGGGGGAUAACAGUUAGAAAUGACUGCUAAUACCGCAUAAGACCACAGAGCCGCAUGGCUCGGUGGGAAAAACUCCGGUGGUAUGAGAUGGACCCGCGUCUGAUUAGGUAGUUGGUGGGGUAAGGGCCUACCAAGCCAACGAUCAGUAGCCGACCUGAGAGGGUGACCGGCCACAUUGGGACUGAGACACGGCCCAAACUCCUACGGGAGGCAGCAGUGGGGAAUAUUGCACAAUGGGGGAAACCCUGAUGCAGCGACGCCGCGUGAGCGAAGAAGUAUUUCGGUAUGUAAAGCUCUAUCAGCAGGGAAGAAAAUGACGGUACCUGACUAAGAAGCACCGGCUAAAUACGUG
This 479-nucleotide ribosomal RNA is filed under the name uncultured bacterium. RNAcentral describes it as "partial 16S ribosomal RNA". It matches the Rfam family "Bacterial small subunit ribosomal RNA", at positions 28 to 507 of the family's 1533-position model. The record is from RNAcentral.